This 253-nucleotide ribosomal RNA is filed under the name uncultured bacterium. RNAcentral describes it as "partial 16S ribosomal RNA". It matches the Rfam family "Bacterial small subunit ribosomal RNA", at positions 524 to 776 of the family's 1533-position model. The record is from RNAcentral.
UACAGGGGGGGCAAGCGUUGUUCGGAAUUACUGGGCGUAAAGGGCUUGUAGGUGGCCAACUAAGUCACACGUGAAAUCCCCAGGCUUAACCUGGGAACUGCGUGUGAUACUGGAUGGCUUGAAUCCGGGAGAGGGAUGCGGAAUUCCAGGUGUAGCGGUGAAAUGCGUAGAUAUCUGGAGGAACACCGGUGGCGAAGGCGGCAUCCUGGACCAAUAUUGACGCUGAGGAGCGAAAGCCAGGGGAGCAAACGGG